GCAAACUGGGGUGCUGAUAGCAAGGGUAUAUGUGCCUAUGGUUGGCUAGACCCACUGUGUGAGGCCAAGAGAGGGGGGAGAUAUUCAGAAGAAUCCAUUUCCAUAUUUCAUUUUUCUCAUGUUCUCAAACACACUUUUCCCGAGACAUACUCGCCGCGCCGACAAUCGUUUCUGGCGAUGGCGGAGGUCCAAAUGACCUCAAAUGUAACCCUAACUGUUCGUCUUUACUCCCACUCACCCAAUCUGAAACCGAUUUAUCUUAAUUCCUAACCACUUCACCAAAUUGAGCUAAAAAAGUCCAAGAACCCUAACAAAUCAAACCUGAAUGAAAUGAAUACAAAGCUCUGAAAGGAACGCAAACCUUAUGGGUUUGGUCCCUCUGAUACUAGACUACAUUGCGGUGAGGAAUUUUAGGCAAUGAGAAGAUGAUUUUCGAGGGGCUACCAACCAACAAGGCGGAGAAUGCCUUGGUGUUCGUUGAAUCUUGAAGCUGAUGCAAAUGGAGCAAGAAAAUACCAGAGAAAUAUGCAGGGUUGAUAUGCAUAAAGUGGAAUGGCCAAGGUUCAUCUAUGUCAUGUUCAAAGUAUGGCAUCAAGAAGGAUUUUAUGGAAUACACCAAGAACAUGAAAUUGAAGACUUGGGAGGCUUGGAAUAAAAUGAAGAUAGGAUGAUGAAGGAAAAGUGGGGUUUAGGAUUAGUAGUUGACUUUGGUCAACAGUUUGACCAAAAAGUCAACAGUUGACCAAAAUUCAACUGUUGGUCAAAGAUGUGCGAUCUUGUAUGGACUUUGUAGUAUGGUUUUUGUAAUGUAAUGCUUUGAUGAUUUGUAAAAAAUGGCUUUGUUGAAAUGAAUGAAUAUGUGUAACUUCUA
Long non-coding RNA from Lathyrus oleraceus (garden pea), 871 nucleotides. RefSeq lists it as uncharacterized. The record is from RefSeq and is a predicted model, not a curated record. NCBI's taxonomy places the organism in Eukaryota, Viridiplantae, Streptophyta, Magnoliopsida, Fabales, Fabaceae. The transcript has 2 exons.